GCAACAUCCAUCUUACCCUUGAAAUCCUCAACUACCCUCUUUCUAACCUCUCAUUAUCCAAUAUAUGAUUUAUUUUAUUUUUUGCACGGAAACGGAGAAAAGAGGGCGUUUGAUCGAGCACCAUUGGCUACUGUGUCGUUUCCCAUCGCUCCUAAGGUUGCCUGUACAUUCUCUCAAUGGAAGAUGACAUGAUAAUGGACAAAAAGCGCAGAAAAACUGCUUCAGCAGAUUUUCUUUUACAGUGG
This 245-nucleotide unclassified non-coding RNA is filed under the name Hevea brasiliensis (rubber tree). The record is from RNAcentral. Lineage: Eukaryota; Viridiplantae; Streptophyta; Magnoliopsida; Malpighiales; Euphorbiaceae.